UUAAAGACGGGUCAUCAAAGA
RNAcentral lists this non-coding RNA (21 nucleotides) under Arabidopsis thaliana (thale cress). Lineage: Eukaryota; Viridiplantae; Streptophyta; Magnoliopsida; Brassicales; Brassicaceae. The record is from RNAcentral.